Molecule: ribosomal RNA, 405 nt
Filed under: uncultured bacterium
Lineage: Bacteria
Description: bacterial SSU rRNA
Rfam family: Bacterial small subunit ribosomal RNA
Source: RNAcentral
UGGGGAAUAUUGCACAAUGGGCGAAAGCCUGAUGCAGCGACGCCGCGUGAGGGACGACGGCCUUCGGGUUGUAAACCUCUUUCAGCAGGGAAGAAGCGAAAGUGACGGUACCUGCAGAAGAAGCGCCGGCUAACUACGUGCCAGCAGCCGCGGUAAUACGUAGGGCGCAAGCGUUGUCCGGAAUUAUUGGGCGUAAAGAGCUCGUAGGCGGUCUGUCGCGUCUGGUGUGAAAACUCGAGGCUCAACCUCGAGCUUGCAUCGGGUACGGGCAGACUAGAGUGCGGUAGGGGAGACUGGAAUUCCUGGUGUAGCGGUGAAAUGCGCAGAUAUCAGGAGGAACACCGGUGGCGAAGGCGGGUCUCUGGGCCGUAACUGACGCUGAGGCGCGAAAGCCAGGGGAGCAAA